RNAcentral lists this ribosomal RNA (496 nucleotides) under uncultured bacterium. RNAcentral's name for it is "partial 16S ribosomal RNA". It matches the Rfam family "Bacterial small subunit ribosomal RNA", at positions 29 to 507 of the family's 1533-position model. The record is from RNAcentral.
AUGCACGCUGGCGGCGUGCCUAAUACAUGCAAGUCGAGCGAACAGACGAGGAGCUUGCUCCUCUGACGUUAGCGGCGGACGGGUGAGUAACACGUGGAUAACCUACCUAUAAGACUGGGAUAACUUCGGGAAACCGGAGCUAAUACCGGAUAAUAUAUUGAACCGCAUGGUUCAAUAGUGAAAGACGGUUUUGCUGUCACUUAUAGAUGGAUCCGCGCCGCAUUAGCUAGUUGGUAAGGUAACGGCUUACCAAGGCAACGAUGCGUAGCCGACCUGAGAGGGUGGUCGGCCCCACUAGAACGGAACACCGGGCCAGACGCCUAACGGAGGCAGCAGUAGGGAAUCUUCCGCAAUGGGCGAAAGCCUGAAGGAACAAAGCCGCGUGAGUGAUGAAGGUCUUCGGAUCUUAAAACUCUGUUAUUAGGGAAGAACAAAUGUGUAAGUAACUAUGCACGUCUUGACGGUACCUAAUCAGAAAGCCACGGCUAACUACGUG